RNAcentral lists this ribosomal RNA (492 nucleotides) under uncultured bacterium. RNAcentral's name for it is "partial 16S ribosomal RNA". It matches the Rfam family "Bacterial small subunit ribosomal RNA", at positions 28 to 507 of the family's 1533-position model. The record is from RNAcentral.
GAUGAACGCUAGCUACAGGCUUAACACAUGCAAGUCGAGGGGAAACGGCAUUGAGUGCUUGCACUCUUUGGACGUCGACCGGCGCACGGGUGAGUAACGCGUAUCCAACCUUCCCAUUACUGUGGGAUAACCUGCCGAAAGGCAGACUAAUACCGCAUAGUCUUCGAUGACGGCAUCAGAUUUGAAGUAAAGAUUUAUCGGUAAUGGAUGGGGAUGCGUCUGAUUAGCUUGUUGGCGGGGUAACGGCCCACCAAGGCUACGAUCAGUAGGGGUUCUGAGAGGAAGGUCCCCCACAUUGGAACUGAGACACGGUCCAAACUCCUACGGGAGGCAGCAGUGAGGAAUAUUGGUCAAUGGACGGAAGUCUGAACCAGCCAAGUAGCGUGCGGGAUGACGGCCCUAUGGGUUGUAAACUGCUUUUGUAUGGGGAUAAAGUUAGGGACGUGUCCCUAUUUGCAGGUACCAUACGAAUAAGGACCGGCUAAUUCCGUG